UACAGAGGGGGCAAGCGUUGUUCGGAAUUACUGGGCGUAAAGGGCGCGUAGGCGGCCUUCUAAGUCAGACGUGAAAUCCCCCGGCUUAACCUGGGAACUGCGUCUGAUACUGGAGGGCUUGAGUGCGGGAGAGGGAUGUGGAAUUCCAGGUGUAGCGGUGAAAUGCGUAGAUAUCUGGAGGAACACCGGUGGCGAAGGCGGCAUCCUGGACCAACACUGACGCUGAGUGAGCGAAAGCCAGGGGAGCAAACGGG
RNAcentral lists this ribosomal RNA (254 nucleotides) under uncultured bacterium. RNAcentral describes it as "partial 16S ribosomal RNA". It matches the Rfam family "Bacterial small subunit ribosomal RNA", at positions 524 to 776 of the family's 1533-position model. The record is from RNAcentral.